Amphiprion ocellaris (clown anemonefish) is the source of this 867-nucleotide long non-coding RNA. NCBI's taxonomy places the organism in Eukaryota, Metazoa, Chordata, Actinopteri, Pomacentridae. The record is from Ensembl.
UCCGUGAACUGUUACCUCAGCCUGUUCACCGUGGAAAGGUCAGCUACAAACCACAUCUUUCUUUAACAGACACCGGUUCUUCGAGGACGUGGCCGAGCUCAGGCUUCAGGAGCGAGAACGCAACUACGCCAAAAGGUUGGAGGUCCUGGAGAGGCGGCAGAAGCAGAUAGAAGAAGUGGCCGAGAAGAAGAAGCAGGCGGGAAGCAACUGAAUGUAGCAGCUAGAACCUCUGUGGUUCUGUACAGAGAUUCUCCAGCAGACUGUCCUGUUGAGUAGCUCUACAGAUUGAUGCAUCCUGCUGUCAACAGGCCGAUGUUAAAGACUAACCUGUUAAACAGAAGCCUUCAAACGCCUUCCCCUGGAGCUGCUGUCUGCAAUGGAUGUAUUUAAAUAAUCCUCACACAUUUGUAUAAAUACACAUGAAAAUAUCUGGACAUGUUUACUUUGCAAGAAGCCAAACUGUUCCCAUCAAUGUGUCUGUUUUGAGACAUGAUCAAUAAUCAAAACACCGUGUCCCAGAAGUUUGUUCUCCACACUGGACAACGUGUUUGAUUGUCACCAAAAUAGGUUCCACUGUCAGGGACUGUCUGGUUGUUUGUCUGUCAAACUGUCAGGUCCCAGUAAUAAAUUUCUUGUUUGACCAAAAUGCUUUACUCUUACAAACAAAUUUUAGAAUAGAAUAGAUGAGAGAAUAGAACAAUGAUCCUUUACAGGAAAUUACUUUGCUACAGUCGCAUGCUAAGAUGCAGACGACCCACAAACCCGACAGAACACCAACACUAAUAGCCGUCAAGUAUGAUGCAUCUGCAGCAAUGGAGGUUGAUCAAACCUUGAAAGCUGGUAAUUCCUACAGGUGUCCCAACUUUU